ACCUAAAGUGAUAUAAUUCUCUAAUUUGCUAAUGUUUAAAACAAAAAACUAAUAUUUUCAGUUACUGUUACUCAAUUUUUCAAUUGGAAUAAAUAAUAAUAGAUAAUUUUUAAUCGUUUAUUUUUUGCCAAUAUAAAAUUUAUGUUAUACUAUGAACCUGAAUUUCCUGAUUUGUAAAGCAUCUUCCAUCUGAAGGAUCUUUUUUGUUUGAGAUUUAAUGUCACUUUCUAUACAACAGUGGGAAUUAAAUGGCAGGACAUUUCGUUAUUCCUUACGAGCCUCUCACAUUCUUGAUGAAAUCAACAGUCAGGUGGAGGAUAGAGUUCAAUUUCUUCUGAAAUAUUUGGAGAUAUGGGACCCAGGAAUUGGACUCGGAUUUUCCAAGAUGAAAGCACAGCACGUUUCCACUGCAGAGGACUUUUAGGGAUUCAUCCUAAAAAAAUCUAGAGAUAUGGAACCCAAUAUCAAUCUCUGGUCUCAUAUUUGUGGAAUUUUUAGGGUGAAUCCUGAUCUGAUAGAUAAAGUAUAUCUCAUAAGUGAUAUGGUGCUUAUCUAAAUAAUCUAAUCUGGCCUGACUUGCUGUUGAAUAUGAGUGUUGUGUGUGAGCGAUUCUUAAUGAGAUAUAGAAUUGCCCUGUCUAUUAAAAUUUUACUAGAUGGAAAACGAUGUAAAACCAAAGAAUAUCCCUGAACCAAGAUCAAUAUAUUCGUUAAAUAUAUGUUUGGUUUGUGAUUGAUAAAAAUAUUAUAUAGCUUGAAUGCUUGUAUUAUCUCAGCUAAUAUUUUCAAUUAAAGUGUAACGAAUUUGUAAAAUUUUUUAUUUAGUUUAACAGAGUUUUCACUUUUCAUUUUUAUUAAGCGGUGGCGUCAUUCAGAAUCCACCAAAAAAACAUUCAUACCAUGAUAUGUCAAACUAGAAGAAACCAGGCCCGGACCAUUUUGAAAAAAUUUUUAAGUAUGGAAUCCCAAAUCAAUCUCAGAUCUUCUACUUUAGUUUGAAUUGCAUUGUCAAAUCACACAAUGGAUAUAUCUGACGGUGCACUUUUAGAGCCCAUCUUGGAUUGGCCAAUACCUAUGAAGAAGUCACUGAAAAGUUGAAUUGAAGGAUGAAGUUCAACGCGCCGAACCUGAACUCUUCUGUAAAACUGGAGAUGUGGAACAAGGUUCCACAUCUCCAGUUUUUCAUUUGAACCUAGUUCUCCCAGAGCCGUAUUAUCUAUUAGUUACCAAAAGCCAUAUGUUUAAAGGCUCCUCGACAAUAGGGGGCUUUAAAAGUAGGUUAAAAAUUAUUGAACAAUUUUAUAAUUUAUUUAAAAAAUUUUUGCCUACGUAUCCCAAAAGAUCUUAAUCCAAACCUCGGUCUUCCAAGAUGAUAAUAAUUGCUAUAUCACGCUGCCAUCUGGUUGGCUCGGAUUCUCCAGAUAGGUAAAACAAUAUCAUAAUACAGCAAGCCUACCGAAUUUAUAAAUUACACUGUUUUUAGUUUAUAUAAGAAAUAUAUUUAUUAAUAUGCAUAGAGAACAAAAUUUAAUAAUAAAGUUUAUUGGUAAUGGAUUUAGUACCAUUCUAUAGUAUUUAGGUGACUGAAUCAAUAUCCAUGUUUAUAGAUUUUACAUAUUACUGUAUUUCUUAAUUUGCCCUACGUCGCCUGGAAUAGCUGUUCCAUUUAUCCAUAUCAAGCCAUAUUACGGCACACACUGAUAGACUUAUUGAGAAUUUUGGCAUUUGUGAUGAAAUUAAAAAAUAACAUAACAAA
Molecule: long non-coding RNA, 1755 nt
Filed under: Androctonus crassicauda
Lineage: Eukaryota; Metazoa; Arthropoda; Arachnida; Scorpiones; Buthidae
Source: RNAcentral